CCGCUCAUAGUGUAAUGGAUAACACUCUUGACUUCGGAUCAAGUAAUUGGGGUUCGAGUCCUCAUGAGCGGGCCA
RNAcentral lists this transfer RNA (75 nucleotides) under bacterium. RNAcentral's name for it is "tRNA-Arg". It matches the Rfam family "tRNA". Rfam says of the family: Transfer RNA (tRNA) molecules are approximately 80 nucleotides in length. Their secondary structure includes four short double-helical elements and three loops (D, anti-codon, and T loops). The record is from RNAcentral. RNAcentral also lists the same sequence under 1 other name.